UAAACUCUAAAUGUUAGUGAAUCUAUAGUUUUGAUGGGAUACGAAUUCUAUGAAUCUAAUUUUAAUGAUCCAACCGUCAAAAUUGUUUGUAUAUGCUUCGAAAUCGCAUAAGCCAAAAAUCACAAAAAACAAACAUUCAGAGAUCAAGUAAUGAGACAAAACUUUUCAACGGUUAUAAAACAAAAAAUCACGAUUUAACAGUUAUGUUAAUUCCGAUUUUGAUGAUUUUUUACAACUACACUACUUGACCCUAUACGAUUAUAAUGAAUGAAUUUGAUCGUCAAUUUAAAAUAUUUACACAAGUGGAUAUCACAAAUCUUAUGUUAUACUUAAUGAAAGUAUAAAUAAACUCUAAGUGUGAGUGAAUCUAUAGUUUUGAUGGGAUACGAGUUCUAUGAAUCUAAUUUUAACGAUUCAACCGUCAAACUUGUUUGUAUAUGCUUCGAGAUCGCAUACGCCAAAAAUCACAAAAAAACAAACAUUCAGUGAACAAGUAAUGAGACAAAACUUUUCGACGGUUAUAAAACAAAAAAUCACGAUUUAAUGGUUAUUUUAACUUCGAUUUUGAUGUUUUUUUUACAACUACACUCCUUAACCCUAUACGAAUACAAUGAAUGAAUUUGAUUGUCAAUUUAAAAUAUUUACACAAGUGGAUACCACAAAAAUCUUAUGUUAUACUUAAUGAAUGUAUAAAUAAACUCUAAGUGUUAGUGAAUCUAUUGUUUUGAUGGGAUACGAAUUCUAUGAAACUAAUUUUAACGAUCCAACCGUCAAACUUGUUUGUAUAUGCUUCAAGAUCGCAUACACCAAAAAUCACAAAAAACAAAAAUCAGAGAUUAAGUAAUGAGACAAAACGUUUUGACGGUUAUAAAACAAAAAAUCACGAUUUAACGGUUAUUUUAACUCCAAUUUUGAUGAUUUUUUACAACUACAGUCCUUGACCCUAUACGAAUACAAUGAAUGAAUUUGAUCAUCAAUUUAAAUUAUUUACACAAGUGGAUACCACAAAAUCUUAUGUUAUACUUAAUGAAAGUAUAUAAAUAAACUCUAAAUGUUAGUGAAUCUAUAGUUUUGAUGGGAUACGAAUUCUAUGAAACUAAUUUUAACGAUCCAACCGUCAAACUUAUUUGUAUAUGCUUCUAGAUCGCAUAUGCCAAAAAUCACAAAAAAAUUCAGAGAUCAAGAAAUAAGACAACUUUUGGAUGGUUAUAAAACAAAAAAGCACGAUUUAACGGUUAUUUUAACUCCGAUUUUGAUGAUUUUUUACAAUUACACUCCUUGACCCUAUACGAAUACAAUGAAUGAAUUUAAUCGUCAAUUUAAAAUAUUUGCACAAGUGGAUACCACAAAAUCUUAUGUUAUACUUAAUGAAAGUGUAAAUAAACUCUAAAUGUUAGUGAAUCUAUCGUUUUGAUGGGAUACGAAUUCUAUGAAACUAAUUUUAAUGAUCCAACCGUCAAACUUGUUUGUAUAUGCUUCGAGAUUGCAUACACCAAAAAUCACAAAAAAUAAACAUUCAGAGAUCAAGUAAUGAGACAAAGCUGUUCGACGGUUAUAAAACAAAAAAUCAUGAUUUAAUGGUUAUUUUAACUCCGAUUUUGAUGAUUUUUUACAACUACACUCCUUGACCCUAUACGAAUACAAUGAAUGAAUUUGAUCGUCAAUUUAAAAUAUUUACACAAGUGGAUACCACAAAAUCUUAUGUUAUACUUAAUGAAAGUAUAAAUAAAGUGUUAGUGAAUCUAUCGUUUUGAUGGGAUACGAAUUCUAUGAAACUAAUUUUAACGAUCCAACCGUCAAACUUGUUUUUUAUUAGGCUCUUAUUUUCGAGUGUAGAUGUAGUACUUAAAUGACAAAUCUGUUUUAAUGUUUUGAAGUAAUAUUUAUGUGGUAAUGUGUGGUAUGUGCAAAUUUAA
RNAcentral lists this long non-coding RNA (1916 nucleotides) under Malus domestica (apple). RNAcentral's name for it is "long non-coding RNA (MDOM_LNC000554)". The record is from RNAcentral. Lineage: Eukaryota; Viridiplantae; Streptophyta; Magnoliopsida; Rosales; Rosaceae.